GUUGUUAAAACUUUUGUCAGUGAGGAGGGGGAGGGGGUAUUUUUUCACACCCCUGACCGACAUAAGUUUUACCAACAGAAGUAGCAGUGUAGACAUAGUCCUUAGUGUUGCUGCAUAAAAGCACAGUAGCAUUCUAGCACCAUCCACACUGCAGAACCAAAGUCAAGGAGACAGUCACAUUGCAACUAAAUUCCCCAUAGGGUAGAUAGGGCUUAAUACAAUCAGUCUUUUCUGUAGUAGGAUACCUGUACAUAUACCUGAAUUUUGCACUUUGCUUCCACAAGCUGCAGUUUGGUCUGUGCCAGUUCCAGCUCCAUCUCCCUCAGCUGCUUCUUGAGUGCAUCCUUCUCAUCAUCUCUUUCUGUUCCCUGGGUCUCUCUGCUUAUAGCAGGCAGCUUCAAUGCUCCUUCCUUACUGAAAAUCUCACUGCAGUGUUUGCAAGCCAUCACUUUACCCUGAGAACAGCCAGAGAAUCCAUUUUUAGCAAUGUUACAGAUGUCCUGUUUCCUGGAAGAGCCGCUCUUAUGUUAGAUUUGCUUUUUGGUGGUAAUGGUAGAGCCACUAAGUGUGUGAGAUUGUCACAUGCGGUCUUACCUCAAAUGAUUUUAGAAGUUCAUGAACAACAGAUAUGGGUGCAUGCACCAAGAUAAGAAUUCCUAAUACUUUAAGCAUUUUUUCAACACAUCUAGACUUUGGAAGUCACAUUUACCCUCCUGUUGUCAAGACUUGUGAUAUUUUUGCAGUACUGCAUUAAUGUUAGCAUAGUUGUUAAAGUAGAUUGCAGUCUUUUUUCCUCUGGCUAAACCUGCUGCUUUUAAAAAAAAACUUUGAUCAAAUAUUAAGGUUAAUAUGGCUUUGGAAAAGGAAAUAUUACAGCCAUGUGAUAUUGCUUAGAAACCCGCUCCCAUCCAGGUUUUCCCUACUCGUCACAAGCAAGCACUCCAUGUUGGAUGCAAUGGCUGCUACUUUGCUAUUAAUACUGGAAUGUAAUAGUGAUACUAUCUUACAGAAUGCUCCUAGUGUCAAGAACAUUUGACAACAGCAAGUUCCAUAUUGGGUUGGCCUGAAGAGGUGCUUACAAAUUGACUAACAAUUUGUUCCAGUAACUUUUCAGGUAUCAAAGUUAAGAUUGCUGGUCUUUAAUUCCCUAAGUCCUUUUUGUUUCCCUAGUUAAAGAUCAGUAUUAUGUUUGCCUUUCUCCAAUCUUCUGGGGCCUCACCUGUCUUCCAUAAGUUCUCGAAGAUGGUUGCUUCAGCUAUUUCCUUAACUACUCUAGAAUGAAUUUCAUCAAGCCCUGCUGACUUGAAUACAUCUCAUUUAUCUAAAUAUUCUUCAAACUUUUCUUUCCCUAUUUUGGCUUACAUUCCUUCCCUCUUGUUGUUAAUAUUGGGUUGAAUAUCUGGUCACCAUUAACAACAGCCAGUGUCUCAGACCACUUAGCCAGAGUAAACAAGCAAAAACAUUUACUGAAAUACUUUAAGAAACUAGAUGAAUGUCAAUCAGUCUUUAUUUUUGUGAAACUAAUUUUAGAACAGUAAGUAGAGUACCUGGCAGUCUCAUUUCAGAAAUGUCUUUUUUUGUAUAAAGAGGGAAGAUAUGUAUGUUGCUAAACUGCCAACUACUUGUAAAGCAUGUGUAAAACCCUUGGUUUAAUGUUUCAGAAAUAGUAAGCAGCAAAAUUUAUAAUCAUAGCAAAAGGCAGACAUUUGCCACUGGAUAGCAACAGAUUAUAUAUUUCAGAAAGUUUGAGAACUACAGAAACAGAGGGAGGGAUUCCAUGUAUGUUGCUAUGGCAGCAUACAGGUGCUGUGAAGUCCCUUAUUGGGGAAAAUUACCCUAGUGUGGAGACUAUGUAGGACAACCAGAGACAUCUCUAUGCAGACCUCACAAGGCCUUGGUGUUCAGGACAGGAGGGGGAUGGUUAUGGAAAGUCUGGGGCAGACCAGGCCAGCCCACCAUAAUUAAGAGCAGCUCCCUGGCCUGCCCAGAAUCCAUCAGGUCCAAAGCAACCUUUGCUCUUUCUGUCCUGGGCUGUGCCUGUGUGCACUGUGCAAAAUGGAGAUGCAGUUCAAAAGCUCCCACAAAGGGCUCUCUUUCUCAUCGUAUUAGAACGUAUAAAGACUUAUCCCUCCAUGCUUCCUGCCAAAUUCAUACAUUUCUGCGGGGAAAAAUAUAGGCACUCUGCACUCCAGUUUGGAAGCUCCAGCCUACUUGAUGUCCCUUCACCAUGCUGUUUUGGAUAUGUAUUCUACAAUUGUUUCCAUCCUGUGAAACAUCUGAGAGGGUAUUUUAGACCAUCUUCCUGGCUCACAAGGCUGCUACUAUAUGGCUGCAGUUCAGUUCCUUUCAGUAUCUUACUGCCAGCAUCUAUGAAUAUUUGAGUUAAUGACACUUCACAUACAGAGGCCUCAUUCUCACCUUCACAACCUCCAGUUCCUCCUUACUUGCUGUCUGUUGUUUCUCCAGCCUGGUACUCAGCUGGGAACAAAUCUGGAAGAGAGAAAACAACCCCUUUGAUAAAGUUUAUAAAAAAAAAAACAUUUCAGCAUUAUUUUAUUACAGCUUCACCGAAGUCAUACACAGUUAUUUCCUCAGAAUGAAUCCAUUAGUGGUAGCAAGGCUGACAAAAAAAGGUCUAAAUGGUAGUAUUCAAGAUGCAACCUCAACACUGAGAUUGAUUUGACUAAUUUCAUGGGAAGCUGGCCUACAUCCUUAGCCAGGAGCAGGGCAAAAGAGGCAGUUGCACUUAGCGGGUUGGGAAUAGCUUGAUAAGGAGGUAUUCUUCUCUACAGAAAGUGGUAGAUUCCACUUGGACAACUCCAGAAAGAAUAUAACUGUCUACAAUUCAUGCUCUCAGAAAGCCUGAAAUGAGACAUGCCCUGGUCAAAAGUACUGGGACUAGAAUGCUGAGCAGUCAGCUUGCCUGAGAUAGGGAGUAGGAAGACGUUAAAAAUGGUUUACAAAUAACUAUAUGAAACAGGAGUUUUCUUUAUAAAUGUUACUUGUUUAUAUUCCGCAAUAAUGGCAGUGGUUUUCUUUAUUUCAGAUUCCGCCUUCUCUAGUUGUUUCCUGAAGAUUUCCUUCAGCUGGAAAGUUCAAGGAGAGAAAUCAUAUUAGUGGGCGGGCUUUGAGGAAUUUUCCAACAUGUGAAUGAUGACAUCACUCUUGAACAUACUCUGCAUCUAUAACAGGGGGAAGGAAGACGUCAGUUGCACAUAGAGAGGCAAAGCUAUUGCCCCAGCAGGGGUGAACUGCAGGUAUGGUCUACUCCAGCUUCCACUUAUUAAAACAAACAUUUGAUUUAAAGAAGAAAGCUGAUUUGAAACUUGCAAGCAAGUCCCAACUCAGGAAGGCUAAUAAACUCCAC
Mauremys mutica (yellowpond turtle) is the source of this 3367-nucleotide long non-coding RNA. RefSeq lists it as uncharacterized. The record is from RefSeq and is a predicted model, not a curated record. The transcript is spliced from 3 exons. Lineage: Eukaryota; Metazoa; Chordata; Testudines; Geoemydidae.